This 310-nucleotide unclassified non-coding RNA is filed under the name Hevea brasiliensis (rubber tree). The record is from RNAcentral. Lineage: Eukaryota; Viridiplantae; Streptophyta; Magnoliopsida; Malpighiales; Euphorbiaceae.
CUAAAUAUGGCUUUAGCCUAGUGAAAGGGAAAGCAAAUCAUCCUAUGGAGGAUUAUCAUGUUGCAAAGUUUGUUCAGAUCCAAGGACAUGUGCUUGGACUUUUUGCUAUCUAUGAUGGGCAUUUAGGAGAUAGUGUACCUGCCUAUCUUCAGAAGCACUUGUUUAACAAUAUCUUAAAGGAUGAGGAGUUUUGGACAGAUACUAACAAGUCCAUUUUAAAAGCCUAUGAGAAGACAGACCAGGCUAUUCUCUUACAUAGUCCUGACUUGGGAUGUGGUGGGUCAACGGCUGUCACUGCAAUUCUGAUAAA